This 956-nucleotide long non-coding RNA is filed under the name Bos indicus x Bos taurus (hybrid cattle). Its description in RNAcentral is "lncRNA (ENSBIXG00000000709.1)". The record is from RNAcentral. Lineage: Eukaryota; Metazoa; Chordata; Mammalia; Artiodactyla; Bovidae.
CCGACUGCCACCCUUCUCAGAAGCAAAGUGCCAGGCUUGAUUCCUGCAUCCGCUGCACCUCGGGGUGUGCAUGCCAAGAGAUCAUGGUGCUCCGGUGUUGGGGGUUCAGAGUCUUUGAAGGCACACCCUUAGGAUGACUAGAUAGCACUAGUUACCCCGGGGCCUGUCACCUCCUGACUCUCACAGCUUCCCAUGUGGCCGGGUUCCCCAGAGGGUUCUGGGUCGGCCUGUCAUGUCCUCCCUGUCAUGACUCCUGGAGAGCGUGUCAGAGCAUUUUGUUUCUCUCCCAUCUUGCUUAACCUCGUCUCACUGAUCUUUCUCAAGCAGUGGUUUUAAAAAUAAAGGACCGCCUCCUCUUGCUUGAAAUUCCCUUCUCCUGAAACAUCUCUGCCAUCAAUAGGGCCGGCCUCCGGGACGCCCUAGCGCUGCUACAGGCUGCUGGCAAUAACGUUGCUCUCUGCGCUGGGAAGAGGUCUGCCGCUGCUCCUGCCCCUUCACAUUCCUGUCCUGGUGUUGGGGGGUGCCUAGGCCGGGUUUGGAGGGGCCUGUAGGAGUUAAGCUGCCCCAUUUGGACUUGCUUCCUGGGUCAGUCUACCCUUUAUGUAUCCUGGAGGAGGGGCGUCUGAUGGAGGCGGGGAUGGAUCCAGAACCGAGGCUGGAGGAAGCGUCAGCUUGCAGGCAGCAGCAUCCAGCAGAAUAUCUGCUUCAGCAAGGUGACUGCUCCUGCCAGCCAGACGCCAGGGCUGGGCUUUUGGCCUGUGUUCAAGCUCGGGCUGGCGUGUGCUUGGGCCUUCAGGAUCAUUAAACCCUUCACCAAGAGAGCGCAAUGGAAGUGCUGAUUAUGAAAGCUUCUGGAAAUGGCCCAGGAGUGUAGGAGAAUGCGGAGCACAGACAAGGUUGAGAAGGGAGAAAAAAGGACCUGCUGGCCUUGGUACUGGAUCCAAACUAAUGAGAAC